This 229-nucleotide unclassified non-coding RNA is filed under the name Hevea brasiliensis (rubber tree). The record is from RNAcentral. Lineage: Eukaryota; Viridiplantae; Streptophyta; Magnoliopsida; Malpighiales; Euphorbiaceae.
UAACAAAAUUUCAACAAAAUCAAAUAAAAAACUAAGGGAGAAGAAGACAUGCGAUGAUGCAAUAUGCGGUGAACCAACCAUCAGAAGAACAAACUAUUCUUAUUAGUGUCGAUGAGGCAAACCCAUGAAGCCUAGUCCCAAACGGCAAUGUCCAAAGGAAGAAGACAACAACAAAAGCUUCAAUCUGCCAUCAUAAAAGACUACUAAUAGAAGAAGAAGAAGAAGAAGA